Molecule: long non-coding RNA, 1173 nt
Filed under: Pogona vitticeps (central bearded dragon)
Lineage: Eukaryota; Metazoa; Chordata; Lepidosauria; Squamata; Agamidae
Description: lncRNA (ENSPVIG00000025498.1)
Source: RNAcentral
GUCUUUGAAAUGAGGAGCCAAUCCAGCCAACGCUGCUGCCUGUAACCCACUCCAGUGACUGGCGCUCCUCCAAUCUCCGGGUUGCCAAAAUUCCCUGAGGAAAGUCCUGCUCUCUCUUCCAAAGGCUGUGGGGAGAGCAUGGUCUGCGUGCCCUCAGGGAGCAAUGUAAAAAUGCGCCGGGUUGGUGCUCUGGAGGAAACUGAUGACUAGACCAGCUGCAUGAAGCCCACAAGACAGAGUACGCCCUUGCCUUUCAGCAGCACCAUCCUUCAGGUGUGGGGGGUGGGUGAGAAGAAUAUGUGAGAAGAUAAUACAAGACAGAAGGGAAGGCCAUCAGUUCCUGUUACAUGUUGAGUGACAUAGAGGAGAGAGAGAUAUUCUCUAUUUUAAAAGGUAAUGAAGGGCCAGUAAACACUAUAUGGUGGAGUUUCAGAAAGUGAUGGAACAGCGGGAUGCGGGAGUGGCAGAAUAUGAAGCAUCAGAAAAAUGGAGGGGCAGUGCUCAAGCAUUUAGUACAGGGUGUACUCCAGAAAACGUACCAGAGGGCUGCUUAAGUGGAUGCAGAAAAGAAGAAAUAGGAAGACGGGUAUGAGUAAGAGAGCCGGAAUGAUCUCCAUGCUCUGUUUCUACUAACAACAAUUGGACCUGAUUGAAUUAAGGGUGCAAGCUUCUAUGCAGAGGAAGUCCAACUAUAACAAUAACAAACAACACUAGCUCUAUACUGACAAAUUCUCCAAGAAGAGAUAUAUUAGGCAAUCAAAACCAAAAGGAAAACACAGCCAAGGCAGGCACAUGCAAAGCCCACUGGUUUCCAUUGGCUCCUAAAUGCUGUGUUGGAUUGCAGCCUCCAAACCCUAAUGGACUAUGUGAAGACUAAACAGGCAUAAGGCUCCUAUUGUGAUAAAUCAGUUUGGUUUUCAAAUUUCAAAAGCCUUCCUUUCUAAGUUCAUUCUCAUCUCUGUCAUCUGUGAACAAAGGCCAAGCCACAUUUGGUUUGUGGUGGACCCUUUUUUCUUGAGCUGAUGGUGACUCCUUGCUCAUGGCAUGGCAUGGACGAGCAGGAUUUGCCAGUUUUGCAGGCCACAGUAAACCUUCUCCAGAUGUCCUGCUUGUUAUGAUUCAGGAGUUUCUGCAGGCAUAAUGCAAAGUAACUGCUAUGGAUCCAAUCACAUA